UGCGUUUUAAUGCUGGAAGAUAGAGUGAAGUCUUCCAUGCAUUUUAACUAAGCUUUUUGUAUUAUUUUCCCAUUAAAGAUCUUCGCAUUUCAAAUGAUAGUUAUCGGUAUGACAAGCUCAAUGGAGGUAGUUGGGGGAAGUAUCCAUCUAAAUCUGAAAAAGCUUGUUGGUCCUAAAUGAGGAGACUGCUACUAGCUUUACUGUCCACUUUCUUUUUUUUUUUCUAAAAAAGAAAAAAAUGAAAUAGGCUUUUGGUAAUAUUCUGCAAACAUAGUAAUAAGUGACAACAGAUUGCUCAGAAGUGAAGUUCUAUAAAAAGAGGUGCUUGGCGGUAAUUUGUCAACCUAGUGAUAACCAACUUGGCACUUAAGAGCUUCAU
Molecule: long non-coding RNA, 379 nt
Filed under: Elaeis guineensis (African oil palm)
Lineage: Eukaryota; Viridiplantae; Streptophyta; Magnoliopsida; Arecales; Arecaceae
Description: long non-coding RNA (EGUI_LNC077775)
Source: RNAcentral